GUCUACAGCUAUACUACCCCAAAUAUGCCGCAUCUCUUCUGAGCUCCAAAGCUAAGCAGGGUUGGGCCUGGUUAGUCCUUGGAUGGAGGAGCACUGUGUUCUCCUCCUGCUGCAGGUC
RNAcentral lists this ribosomal RNA (118 nucleotides) under Chinchilla lanigera (long-tailed chinchilla). The record is from RNAcentral. Lineage: Eukaryota; Metazoa; Chordata; Mammalia; Rodentia; Chinchillidae.